RNAcentral lists this ribosomal RNA (442 nucleotides) under uncultured bacterium. RNAcentral describes it as "partial 16S ribosomal RNA". It matches the Rfam family "Bacterial small subunit ribosomal RNA", at positions 338 to 795 of the family's 1533-position model. The record is from RNAcentral.
CCUACGGGUGGCAGCAGUGGGGAAUAUUGGGCAAUGGGCGCAAGCCUGACCCAGCAACGCCGCGUGAAGGAAGACGGCUUUCGGGUUUUAAACUUCUUUUAAGAGGGAAGUGCAGAAGACGGUACCUCUUGAAUAAGCCACGGCUAACUACGUGCCAUCAGCCGCGGUACUACGUAGGUGGCAAGCGUUGUCCGGAUUUACUGGGUGUAAAGGGCGUGCAGCCGGGAAGACAAGUCAGGUGUGAAAUCCCGCGGCUCAACCGCGGAACUGCAUUUGACACUGUUUUUCUUGAGUACCGUAGAGGUCAUCGGAAUUCCUGGUGUAGCGGUGAAAUGCGUAGAUAUAAGGAAGAACACCAGUGGCGAAGGCAGAUGACUAGACGGCAACUGACGGUGAGGCGCGAAAGCGUGGGGAGCAAACAGGAUUAGAUACCCGUGUAGUC